GAUGAAGAACGUAGCGAAAUGCGAUAAGUAAUGUGAAUUGCAGAAUUCAGUGAAUCAUCGAGUCUUUGAACGCACAUUGCGCCCCCUGGUAUUCCGGGGGGCAUGCCUGUCCGAGCGUCAUUGCUGCCCUCAAGCACGGCUUGUGUGUUGGGCCUCCGUCCUCCUCCCGGGGGACGGGCCCGAAAGGCAGCGGCGGCACCGCGUCCGGUCCUCGAGCGUAUGGGGCUUCGUCACCCGCUCUUGUAGGCUCGGCCGGCGCUUGCCGACACAUCAAUCUUUUUUCCAGGUUGACCUCGGAUCAGGUAGGGAUACCCGCUGAACUUAAGCAUAUCAAUAAGCGGAGGA
Molecule: unclassified non-coding RNA, 345 nt
Filed under: soil metagenome
Description: partial contains 5.8S ribosomal RNA, internal transcribed spacer 2, and large subunit ribosomal RNA
Rfam family: 5.8S ribosomal RNA (bases 1-120)
Source: RNAcentral